GCAAGCGGCAGGCUGGGGGGCAUUGUGGCCAUCUUGACUCCGGGCGAAAUGGUUGCAGGCGAGGGGAGGCUUUUCAGGCCCUCUAGCCCGUUUAGCAGUUAGUGGGUUAUGGAUCUCACCCAGCCGAUUCUAGGAGGAGGUCAUUGUAUCGGACGGGCAUCAGUAGCUCUUUUUGCUCGGUGUACGGCGACUUGAGAAGUAUGGUGGAGGUUAUUUUUAAAACUGCCGGUUAGAUGAACAGCGUUUAAAAGAGAUUGGUUUUAUCUUGCAUCUUUAUUGCAAACGCAGGUGCAGUGUCUUUGCGGGCUCGUGUGUGUGUGUGUGUUGCUUGCGGUGAACUAUUUUCUUAGACAGGCACAGUUACUCAAAACUCGUGGUUACGGAAAACACUCAUUUCAUUUCAGGCACACUGACCUAUCGAACUCCGCUGACUCAUUAUCAGAAAUAUUACAACCAAACGGGCUUUUUUCUUUAAACUACUCAACUAUGUCUCCGAGGGCUGCUUUGAAACUGAAACAAAAAGACCGCAGGAGGCUCCAGGAGCCCAGGCUGACACCCCCGGGGAGGAGCUGAGACAGAGCAGGGCCGGCCGGCCGUGGUUCUGCGUGGUCAGUGUGUGUGUCCGAUGGUGUGUCUGCAGCCCCUGAGCUGGCGUUGACAUUGAAAAAUACAGUCCUGCAGGCCCAGGACUGCCUUCUACAGCACAGCAGCACAGACCCCCGUCCUCUUGUGCUGCUGUCUCUGUAACAGUGUUUCUGCUGCCCAUCACGGCGUUGAGUCUGCAGCUGUGAGGGCAUGUGGGAAUGGACUAGACCGUUACAUGACUAUCCUUCUAGUUAUCCGUAAUUAGGGAUCCAGGGUUCAUGAGCAAACAGCUGCAUGGUUGCAUGACUGAAAUGCUCCCAGAGUUCUGCACACAGACCCUGCAGGACUCCUCCAAGGAUCUUACAGGGAAGAUACUACAGGGAAACUGCUGCAUUCUGCAGCGAAUCUGAAGGAUAUAUAGGAAUCUUUUAAAAAAUCACAAAGAAACAGGAUUUCUUUUAUUUUUACAUUCAUUGUAUGUGGUUGUGUACUAUGUGUACUAUCAUGAUGUAAUACCUUUAGACAGAUGUGACUGUAAUUACAUCGGUGCUGCGUGUUUGUAGAUCCUCAGUGUGUCUCACAAUGUACAAAAGAUCGUGAUACUGUUGUAUAUAUGUGGUUCAGCACUUCAGUGGUGAGUGAAGUGGUCACUUCAUGUAUGUUAAGCACUUUAAGGGAUCCUAUGGAAUGAGAAGCUCUAUAUGCAAGAAAUAAUAGUUACAAGUGUUUGACUGAAUGUACUGUUCAGGGCCUCUAUUAAAGCACAUGUGAUCACAGGUCCCUGAGGGAUCUCUCUCCUCUGCUUCACACUGUCUUGAUAGUUUGAAAAAAGAUCAAUCCAAAAACUUUCUCAAGUAGGUGCUCCUAAACAACUGGUAAGAAAUCAGUCAUGAGCCAUGUCUUUAAUUCUGCUGCUGACAUGCCUAUUGGACUUUCCCAGGCUAAGCAUGGAAACUCGAGGUCUCCCAUAAAUCCAGCCUCUUCUGCACAUAAAUCUUUAAUUAUCGAAUGUACUGUAUAUAGAUUUAUCAACACCUGCAUGUGGUGGUACAGUAUGUAGCACACUCCUAACGCUAUAUGAACCAUAUACGCCUCCUAACAACAAUUCUGACUCAUACUUGUCGAUUCAGGGACUCUUGAAUCCUGUACCUUUAACCCUUGAGCCUGAAAGCUUUUUGCCCCACAGUACUACAUCCCUCCCUUUCUGCUCUUCCUUGCCUCUCUGGAACAGUGUGUUUAAAGAAUGCAAAUGAGGGAGCUUUUAUCUUCUAUGUCACAAGGAUUGUGUCCAACACAGUGACAACCCUUGAGAAGCAGUGAGUGUUUCAGCUGAUGAUCCUGGAGAGCCUACCUGGGUUAACUUCAUCAGAGUCUCUGAGGAUUUUUAAUUCUUGAAUCAGAUGAAAAGAACAGCGGAGGUCCCUGUGGAUCAGGACUUGUAGCUGUUGCAGACCCCAGAGCAGGGCGUGACAGUCCCCUGGGAGAGGCCGGCUCACUACACCUCGGUCACAGGGCAGGCCGGCUCGAUGCCGACUGAGGCAAAACUGUCCGCACCGGUCCAUGGCCAGGGUCCGGAGCGAGGCCCACGCAGGGAGUCGGACUCGCAAGGAUCCUUCUGGACUCCUGCAGCCGGGAUCCUGGAGAGAGAGCCGCCCGGGGAGUCGGACCCGUUGGGAUCGGUCUGGACUCCUAGAGGGAGAGAGGAGCAGAGAGUCGGACCCGUCUGGAUCGGUCUGGACUCCCGGAGGGAGAUCCACCCGGGGAGUCGGACACGUCUGGAUCAGUCUGGACUCCCGGAGGGAGAGCUGCACCGAGAGUCGGACCCAUGAGGACUCAUUAUCCAUGUGUGCUCUUCUUGUUAUUGUCAUUGACAUCCCUAUUUCCUAUAAAAUUCAAGUCUCUCAUUAUAAGCACUUUUUCCUGUACGCAUGUUUCUAGUUCAUUACAGAAUUCAUACUGCGCUCCAACUGAUGUCUGAGUUUGGCGGUCUGUAGCAUUCUCCUAACACAGUGCCAUUUGAAUGUUUUUCAAAAUCUGAUCCCUGUAAAUAUAAAU
Lepisosteus oculatus (spotted gar) is the source of this 2640-nucleotide non-coding RNA. The record is from RefSeq and is a predicted model, not a curated record. NCBI's taxonomy places the organism in Eukaryota, Metazoa, Chordata, Actinopteri, Semionotiformes, Lepisosteidae.